GACGAACGCUGGCGGCGUGCUUAACACAUGCAAGUCGAACGGAAAGGCCCUGCUUUUGUGGGGUGCUCGAGGGCGAACGGGUGAGUAACCCGUGAGUAACCUGCCCUUGACUUUGGGAUAACUUCAGGAAACUGGGGCUAAUACCGGAUAUGAGCUCCUGCUGCAUGGUGGGGGUUGGGAAGUUUCGGCGGUUGGGGAUGGACGCGCGGCUUAUCAGCUUGUUGGUGGGGUAGUGGCUUACCAAGGCUUUGACGGGUAGCCGGCAUGAGAGGGUGACCGGCCACAUGGGGACUGCGAGACGGCCCAGACUCCUACGGGAGGCAGCAGGGGGGAAUAUUGCACAAUGGGCGGAAGCCUGAUGCAGCAACGCCGCGUGCGGGAUGACGGCCUUCGGGUUGUAAACCGCUUUCGCCUGUGACGAAGCGUGAGUGACGGUAAUGGGUAAAGAAGCACCGGCUAACUACGUG
Molecule: ribosomal RNA, 467 nt
Filed under: uncultured bacterium
Lineage: Bacteria
Description: partial 16S ribosomal RNA
Rfam family: Bacterial small subunit ribosomal RNA
Source: RNAcentral